Long non-coding RNA from Oncorhynchus gorbuscha (pink salmon), 3266 nucleotides. RefSeq lists it as uncharacterized. The transcript is spliced from 3 exons. Lineage: Eukaryota; Metazoa; Chordata; Actinopteri; Salmoniformes; Salmonidae. The record is from RefSeq and is a predicted model, not a curated record.
GCUUUUUGACCUGUCCCCAAAAUGUAAUUGGUUCAGAGUUUGUUUUGAUAUUUUAACCUGCGUGUUGUGAUCGCGUUUGGUGUAGGGGGACAAAAUAGAUUUACGCAUGAUGACGCACGAUGGCACACACUCGCAGCCGGUUUGGGUUCUGUGUAAGGGUGAAAUGAUUACUACCAUGAAACGGGUUAUUUCCUUAAUACCAAAACCUGAUAAAGAUCCCUUUUCAUAGAUAAUUGGAGACCUAUUGCAUUAUUAAAUACAGAUUAUAAAUUGAUAACUUUAGCAUAUGCUAAUAGACUUAAAAGCGGCCAAAACCCCCUUAUUAAUGAAAUAGUUUUAGACUUGAUUGAUUACACUGAUUUAAUUGACUCAGAGGCUAUUGUUUUAUUCCUCCACUUUUUUAAAGCAUUUGAUACAAUUGAACACAAAUGACUAAUACACUUUUGUACACUUUUGGUUUCGGGACUAGCUUUGUCUCUGUAAUCAAUAUGUUUUAUGAAGAUAUUAAUAGUUCUAUUAUGAUUAAUCGUAACACAUCUAAAAUAUUUGAUAUUCACCGUAGUGUAUGCCAGGGUUACCCCAUUUCAGCCUUCUUAUUCCUUUUAGUUGUAUAAUUACUAUCUAUUAAGAUUUUUAAACAACCCUGAAUUAAAAGGUAUUUCAAUAUUUGGAAAGAAAUACAAAUAUCUCAAUUAGCAGACAAUACAGCUCUGUUUCUAAAAGACAAGGAUCGGGUUGCUUUUGCACUUAAUAUUAUCAAAUCAUUCUCUUCUGCUUCUGGUCUGGAACUUAACUUAAAUUAAUACAAACUAUCAUCCAUACCUAACUCAAAUACCAAUCUGUGGGUGCAAAUGGCAAAAACCAUAGUAUCUGUCAACAUCUCAAUUUCUCUCAAGAGAUAAAAAAAAAAUCCAUCUUUAAUAACUGUCUCCAGCGUGACAUCUCUAUUAUUGGAAGGGUUUUAUUGUCCAAAGAAGAGGGUCUGUCAUGUUUUGUCUACCCUGCUCUAUCCCUAUUUGUAGCGAUCAAACCAGCAAGGAUAUCAACAAAACUUUCUUAGACUUUAUAUGUAAAAAUAAACAACACAAACUUAAGAAGUCUGUAAUAUCAACAAAGAGCUGAUGGUGGGCUUGAAGUACUAGACCUCAUUGAUAUCAACAAUACGUUUAAAUUAAACUGUAUUCAAAGAUGUAUGCUUGUCAAGAUAGAUGUCAAGAUGGAUGCACAACUUAUGUUAGAAGGUUGCCCCCUACUGGAUAAGAAAUGUAAUAAUACAUUCUUAAGAAUGCAAGAACAAGAUCUCUCCUAGAGGGAACUUCUUCUGGAAUAAUUGAAUGGAAGAAAGCUUGGUUGCUCCCUCACAAAUUUUGUAUAUAAGUUAAAUAAAUUCACUUUAAAAUCUUGUACAAAAUAUGCCCUUGUAAUAACGUGUCCAAAUUCAUGGACUUAGAGGAAAUAUGCCUUUUCUGUGAUAAAGAAGGGGAAACUAUUAUACACUUUAUUGGAGUGAGGUAAGUAUCUACAUUUUUUAUUUAAUUAACAAGACCAUGUAUUUACAAUGAAAUAUGCCAAAUGUUAUUAUUCAUAUUAAAACAAAACCACUGAAUUAGUUGUUAAUUUCUUAAUUCUCUCUGGUAAAUGUUAUAUAUACAAAAACAAAUAUUUGAAAUCUGUGCAAUAGAUCUUUACUUGAAAUCCAAGAUUUGAUCAAAUCUCGAGAAUGAAUCAAUAACAAAAAAAUGCAUUCUUAAACUCUUAUCAUAGGUUUGUACAUUUGUAACCCCUGACCUUAUUUUAUUGAUUUUAUUGUAGGUCAUUUCACUUUUGAAACUCAAUUUAUCUGUGGUUUUAUUAUUUGACUUUAAUGUUAUUUUAUAUUUCUUCAGAGAAAAUAUACGUGUAGUGAUGACCUAUGUUUUUUUUUUUUUGUAUUGUCAUUUGAAAACGUAUGGCAGUUUGAAAUAGACAUUCUUUGUGGAAUCGAUCUCCGUUGUCCUGCCUGCUCACAGGAGAUGCUUGCUAUAUCAGUGAAUGGAAAUCACAAUGAAUAACACUUCCAGAAAUCCUCAGGGUUUGUACUACCUUCUUAUGUGUUGAUAUUUUGUUCAGGGGAUAAGUGAUUCGUUUUUUUUUGCUUUAUCCAAACUCCUCCGAGAGGUUGGAGCAACAUUGUCAGAUGUCUGGUACUUGAACCAGCAACCCACCUCUCUAACCUCUAAGCUACCUGCCACCUUUGAUGUAUAAGUUUGUGAUGUCAUCUUGCAGUCUGACUCUAUUUAGUUCUGAGAAGGUCUUCUACGACAGUGUCUUCCAGGCGAAAGGCAUAUCCAUAAAAAAGUACAAGCGUGUAAUUAUUCUCUUACAGUUUCUAUAACAUAGCUUUAUGUUAAUCUCUGCACUUCACUGUGAUUAUUAUGUUGUAGACACCAGGCAAAGGAAUGUGUGGCACAUCAGAGUGGACAGCGGCCAAAGAGUCGUCAGAAAAAUAAUCUGCUAAAGAUAAGGGCCUUGAGAUAGCAGUUUGCCGACAUGGCAUGCUCCUCAAGGUCCUCAACAUGUGCAGAUGUGAAAUAUAUGCCUACGCAGUGUACUUGCAGAAGGAGUUGUGUUCUGUUGGCACGGUGGGCUUCUUCUGCUGCGAUGUUGCAUGCAUAUACUGGCCAUAUUUGCAGAAGUCAUGCAGGCAUGCCCAGAGUUGGAGGAGCUUCUAAAAAUGCACCCUCUCCAUCAUGCAUGCGAACGCGCAUACCUCUUGUGAGCUCAAAUAGGGAGGCCACAAUCAGUCUGGUACCAGCAACACAACCAGAGAAGCAAGUCAAGCAGGACGUCAAUGAUGCUGUGCUUCAGGAGUGAGUUGCUGAGGUGCAGCAGUGGCCUGAAGCAGGAGAGGUAAAAGGCCGCCACCACCUACUUCAGGAGCAGCCUGGUCUCCUGACGUUGACACCUGACCCCUCACCUCUGAACCUAUCCAGGGAAAUAUGAUUUGCCUGAUGACAUUCUUGUUGCGAUUUCGGCACAUUUGUUGCCAUGUUUCCUCACCUCCAUAUCUUCCGGUCCUAGACUAUGGCGACAUCAUCAUCAAUUCAGAAAUUGAUCUGAGGACCUCUUUACUGAGGAAUGUGGUUGUUCUACAUGAUUGUUGUUUGUAUUUUCUAUGCUGCUGUGAUGUAUGUGUAAUUGUGAGUUGCAAACGAGUCUUUGGUCUCAAUGGGACUGGUAAAAUAAAUAAAGUGAAGGUCUUAAUAAACAUUCAUUAAGCACUAACA